Molecule: ribosomal RNA, 476 nt
Filed under: uncultured bacterium
Lineage: Bacteria
Description: bacterial SSU rRNA
Rfam family: Bacterial small subunit ribosomal RNA
Source: RNAcentral
UGGGCGUUUGAUCAUGGCUCAGAGCGAACGCUGGCGGCAGGCCUAAAACAUGCAAGUCGAACGCCGUAGCAAUACGGAGUGGCAGACGGGUGAGUAACACGUGGGAACGUGCCCUUUGGUUCGGAACAACACAGGGAAACUUGUGCUAAUACCGGAUAAGCCCUUACGGGGAAAGAUUUAUCGCCAGAGGAUCGGCCCGCGUCUGAUUAGCUAGUUGGUGGGGUAACGGCCUACCGAGGCGAUGACGGGUAGCUGGUCUGAGAGGACGGCCAGCCACACGGGGACUGAGACACGGCCCCGACUCCUACGGGAGGCAGCAGUGAGGAAUCUUCCGCGAUGGGCGAAAGCCUGACGGAGCGACGCCGCGUGUGGGAUGAAGUCUUUCGGGAUGUAAACCACUGUCGGAGGGGAAGACAAAAAAGACGGUACCCUCCAAGAAAGCCCCGGCUAACUACGUGCCAGCAGCCGCGGUAAUA